Non-coding RNA from Cinara cedri, 316 nucleotides. NCBI's taxonomy places the organism in Eukaryota, Metazoa, Arthropoda, Insecta, Hemiptera, Aphididae. The record is from the annotation of a GenBank genome assembly.
ACACAAUUAAUCACGAUUCGUCAACAAGCAUUCACUAGAAAUGCUCACAAAAAAUGUUUUAGUAUUUUAAUCACUUCAAAAGGUAAAUUAUAAUAAAUAAUUUAUUUAUUGUAGAUUUCACAGUUGAAGUAUGGUGUUUGGAUUUGGGAAAAAAAUGUCAGAUAUCAAUAAAAGUUUCUUAGAUUUUUUGUUUGUACACAACCCUAGAAAAACCGUCAUCGAUCAUAUUUUCAAUUUUCCUACUUUCCGACUGAUUUCAUGGACAUCAUGGAUUUUUUUUAUAUUUUGAAAAGAAUUUAUAAAUUUGGUGGACAUA